AACGAACGCUGGCGGCAUGCCUAACACAUGCAAGUCGAACGAGAUCUUCGGGUCUAGUGGCGCACGGGUGCGUAACGCGUGGGAAUCUGCCCUUUGGUUCGGAAUAACAGUUGGAAACGACUGCUAAUACCGGAUGAUGACGAAAGUCCAAAGAUUUAUCGCCAGAGGAUGAGCCCGCGUAGGAUUAGCUAGUUGGUGUGGUAAAGGCGCACCAAGGCGACGAUCCUUAGCUGGUCUGAGGGGAUGAUCAGCCACACUGGGACUGAGACACGGCCCAGACUCCUACGGGAGGCAGCAGUGGGGAAUAUUGGACAAUGGGCGAAAGCCUGAUCCAGCAAUGCCGCGUGAGUGAUGAAGGCCUUAGGGUUGUAAAGCUCUUUUACCCGGGAUGAUAAUGAUAGUACCGGGAGAAUAAGCUCCGGCUAACUCCGUGCCAGCCGCCGCAGUAA
RNAcentral lists this ribosomal RNA (449 nucleotides) under uncultured bacterium. RNAcentral's name for it is "partial 16S ribosomal RNA". It matches the Rfam family "Bacterial small subunit ribosomal RNA", at positions 29 to 523 of the family's 1533-position model. The record is from RNAcentral.